GAUGAACGCUGGCGGCGUGCCUAAUACAUGCAAGUCGAGCGAACAGAUAAGGAGCUUGCUCCUUUGACGUUAGCGGCGGACGGGUGAGUAACACGUGGAUAACCUACCUAUAAGACUGGGAUAACUUCGGGAAACCGGAGCUAAUACCGGAUAACAUAUUGAACCGCAUGGUUCAAUAGUGAAAGGCGGCUUUGCUGCCACUUAUAGAUGGAUCCGCGCCGUAUUAGCUAGUUGGUAAGGUAACGGCUUACCAAGGCAACGAUACGUAGCCGACCUGAGAGGGUGAUCGGCCACACUGGAACUGAGACACGGUCCAGACUCCUACGGGAGGCAGCAGUAGGGAAUCUUCCGCAAAGGGCGAAAGCCUGACGGAGCAACGCCGCGUGAGUGAUGAAGGUCUUCGGAUCGUAAAACUCUGUUAUCAGGGAAGAACAAAUGUGUAAGUAACUGUGCACAUCUUGACGGUACCUGAUCAGAAAGCCACGGCUAACUACGUG
This 497-nucleotide ribosomal RNA is filed under the name uncultured bacterium. Its description in RNAcentral is "partial 16S ribosomal RNA". It matches the Rfam family "Bacterial small subunit ribosomal RNA", at positions 28 to 507 of the family's 1533-position model. The record is from RNAcentral.